This 929-nucleotide ribosomal RNA is filed under the name Plectanocotyle gurnardi. RNAcentral describes it as "eukaryotic LSU rRNA". It matches the Rfam family "Eukaryotic large subunit ribosomal RNA", at positions 41 to 633 of the family's 3401-position model. Lineage: Eukaryota; Metazoa; Platyhelminthes; Monogenea; Mazocraeidea; Plectanocotylidae. The record is from RNAcentral.
UAUCAAUAAGCGGAGGAAAAGAAACUAACCAGGAUUCCCCUAGUAACGGCGAGUGAACAGGGAUUAGCCCAGCACCGAAGGUUGCGUUUGUUUAAGCGUUGACCAAUGUGGUGUUUAGGUUGCUACUUUUGAUUAUCGUUUCUGUUCAAAGUCCAAUCUUGAAUAUGGCAUUUUGUUUGGCCCGGAGAGGGUGAAAGGCCCGUAUGGACAGAACGGUUUUCAACUGUUGUAACUAUGGAGUCGGGUUGUUUGAGAAUGCAGCCCAAAGUUGGUGGUAAACUCCAUCUAAGGCUAAAUACUGGCACGAGUCCGAUAGCGAACAAGUACCGUGAGGGAAAGUUGAAAAGUACUCUGAAGAGAGAGUUAACAGUGCGUGAAACCGCUUAGAGGCAAACGGGUGUAGUCAAGCUGCAAGCCUUGGUAAAUAGUGGGGUCAGUAUGACGUGAGUCUGAGCACAUAUAGCUGGUUUAUAGAUCUGUCCGCAAGGUCGGGUUCGGUUUGAAAGAGUCGAAUUUGCGUAGCGGCUUUUGUCGUUGCAAGUCUAUUUACUUGUUGCUUAGCUGGCCCUAUCACUUUAACUUGGCGUAUGUCAUGACCGUCGUUGCUGCCGGUCUGCUUUGUCUAAACUAUGUUGUGAGUAGUCUUGUGCUACUUGCAUUAUGGGGGCAGGUAACUAAUUUAGAGCAAUCUUGAUUAGUAUAAUUUGCUGGGCAGAGUGGUACCUGUAACUGUGCAGUGCGACGUAGGUAUCGGUGCGUUGUGUUACGGGGUGCGCUAUAGUUUGUUGGCGUUAUUUGAGUUUGGCGGUUUGUUGCUACCAUUGGUGGCCUGAUUGUGACUCUGUAACGGUUUAACGAACGGAUGUGCCCGGUCGACCUCUGCGUUGUGCCUAUAGUCUGUGGCGUAAGUGGUAGACGAUCCACCCCGA